UACUUUUGUUUCAUAUACAACACGAGGUUGUAUCAUCACAUUACGUUCUGUGGACUCUUGUAUAUUUGUUCCUGCAAAGAAAUACAAUUUCCGUUGCUCGGUUUACUUAAAGGACACAUGAGGAUGGAUCAUACAGGAAGAGAAGAAUCCAGUUUGAGAUUGAAAUUGAAAUACUCGUGCAAGUUUCCUGGAUGCAGGAGUAGUUAUUAUGUAAAAAUAAAUUCCAAACACAAGAAUAAACAUUUCUAUAAAUUUCCAGCUGCAUCAAAAAGCUAAAUCCUGGUGUUAUACCAAAGCACAUGGAAUUGGUGUUGUAUCAUCCUCCCCCCAC
This is a long non-coding RNA of Schistocerca serialis cubense, 331 nucleotides long. RefSeq lists it as uncharacterized. The transcript has 3 exons. NCBI's taxonomy places the organism in Eukaryota, Metazoa, Arthropoda, Insecta, Orthoptera, Acrididae. The record is from RefSeq and is a predicted model, not a curated record.